UCAGUUUUUGUCAAUGUAGCAGUUCCUCCAAAAUUGCAAGCAAUAUCAGAAUUCCCAUUAGUCUGAUAAUAGCUGUUGAAAGCAAAAGAAGCAUGAGAAACAAGUGUGUCUGGUUCAAAACAAGGUCCAUCUUUCUGAAUGGCUUUACAAUCAGCUGAUCCAAGUCCACAGGCCCAAUCCAGAGCAUUCUGCAAGUCAGCUUGGGAAACACCAGCAAGUGCCACACACCAUGUUGUGCCAUCAAUGAAUGUUGUGUUUCCUUCUGGUGGUGACAAUGUUCCCACUGGAAUCACUGCUGCAUCUGAUUUCUCUUGUUCCACUAUUCCCCUAGCCAUGCCUAAAAACAAAAUUACUAACUAUAUUAUUCCAGCAAUCCAUUCAUACAUCAAUGUUUGGAUUGGAUUCACUAUGAGUUUUGAAGAACAUAAUGAUAUUGAUAAAAGGGUUACAAGAAUCAUUUUUUCCCUUUAUCUCUUUACUAGACUACAAGAUGAAAAGUGGAGGUUAGGUUGUGUUGAGUAUUUUAUUUUGGUAAUGUCUCACUUGAUAAGGAGAGUACAAAAAGACCAUGAAGUAUACUUCCUUUGGUUCAAGAGUCAAAUACAAAUACUACUCCAUUCUCUCUGUUAAAUUAAAAUAAAGUUACCAUUUUUACCUCCCCCAACAAAAAUAGUAUUCCAGUGACAAAAUUAAAAAUGAAGAAUGGUAGAGACAUACUUUAUUUAUUAGUUAGCAAUAUAUCUGAAGAAAAAUAAGAUCUGUUGAACUUGAUAAAUGUUUAAGAAAAAUGCGAUCAUCAAGUUAGCAUUUUUAAUAGCAAGAGACUCAAGAACACAAUAUCAAAAACUACAACGGAAAAAAAGAGAAAACAGAAAAAAGGAGGAGAAAAUAACAAAGCUUACCCAUGUAGCAUUCAAUGAAAGCAAGGCAAAGAAAAAACCAUAUUUUCUUUCUCAUGAUUCCAGCUUCAAAUGAUGAACAAAAGGUUGUUUAUAUAACUUAAAUAAUAUUCCAAACUUGUAUUUAGCACAAUGAUGACUAUGAAUAAACUUAAGUCUCUUUGUAUGUUUACGUUUUUAGAGUAAGAAAACAAAAACUAAGUGGCUAUAUGGAAUCGCCAGUUACUUGAAGGAGGUUUCUUUUUUCUUUUUCACUUUUUCUGAUUUUUAAUUUAUUUUAUCAUGAAGAAGAACAUUGCAUACCUUCUGAAGCAAGUAGUACUAUCUUAGGCAGACUAUAACAGUGGAUACAUUUUUAGCUUACAAAAGGUGGUAGUCUAUUGUCCAACAUGUAGAAGAAGAACAUUGCAUACCUUCUGAAGCAAGUAGUACUAUCUUAGGCAGACUAUAACAGUGGAUACAUUUUUAGCUUACAAAAGGUGGUAGUCUAUUGUCCAACAUGUAAAAGAAAAAUAUUAUUAUUAUUAUUAUUAUUAUUAUUAUUUACUUCACAUAAAAGUAAGUUCAACAAUAAAUCUAAUUUACUUCACAUAAAAGUAAGUUCAACAAUAAAUCUAAUUUACUUCACAUAAAAGUAAGUUCAACAAUAAAUCUAAUUUACUUCACAUAAAAGUAAGUUCAACAAUAAAUCUAAUUUACUUCACAUAAAAGUAAGUUCAACAAUAAAUCAUAACUUCAAGUUAAAAUUAAGAGUUAUCAACACACUUCAUUUCAUAAACACGUGUGUCUAUUUUUGAAAUGGGUCCUACUAAAUCUUAUAGGCCCUACAUAAAUUACUUAGCCCUACAUAGUAAGCUAUCAUUUAUAUUAAACUUACUGGGGUCAGUUUUUGUCAAUGUAGCAGUUCCUCCAAAAUUGCAAGCAAUAUCAGAAUUCCCAUUAGUCUGAUAAUAGCUGUUGAAAGCAAAAGAAGCAUGAGAAACAAGUGUGUCUGGUUCAAAACAAGGUCCAUCUUUCUGAAUGGCUUUACAAUCAGCUGAUCCAAGUCCACAGGCCCAAUCCAGAGCAUUCUGCAAGUCAGCUUGGGAAACACCAGCAAGUGCCACACACCAUGUUGUGCCAUCAAUGAAUGUUGUGUUUCCUUCUGG
This 2047-nucleotide long non-coding RNA is filed under the name Cicer arietinum (chickpea). Its description in RNAcentral is "long non-coding RNA (CARI_LNC001769)". Lineage: Eukaryota; Viridiplantae; Streptophyta; Magnoliopsida; Fabales; Fabaceae. The record is from RNAcentral.